Mycena rosella is the source of this 88-nucleotide non-coding RNA. NCBI's taxonomy places the organism in Eukaryota, Fungi, Basidiomycota, Agaricomycetes, Agaricales, Mycenaceae. The record is from the annotation of a GenBank genome assembly.
GCGGACGUGGUGUAUGGCGCACCAUUGCGUUGCUUGAGAGGGGACUUCAUUUAAGCAGUGAGACGGGGUUCGAUUCCCCGCGUCCGCA